ACAUAUUGUGAGCUCGAUGAGUAGGGCGGGACACGUGGUAUCCUGUCUGAAUAUGGGGGGCCCAUCCUCCAAGGCUAAAUACUCCUGACUGACCGAUAGUGAACCAGUACCGUGAGGGAAAGGCGAAAAGAACCCCGGCGAGGGGAGUGAAAAAGAACCUGAAACCGUGUACGUACAAGCAGUGGGAGCACGCUUAGGCGUGUGACUGCGUACCUUUUGUAUAAUGGGUCAGCGACUUAUAUUCUGUAGCAAGGUUAACCGAAUAGGGGAGCCGAAGGGAAACCGAGUCUUAACUGGGCGUUAAGUUGCAGGGUAUAGACCCGAAACCCGGUGAUCUAGCCAUGGGCAGGUUGAAGGUUGGGUAACACUAACUGGAGGACCGAACCGACUAAUGUUGAAAAAUUAGCGGAUGACUUGUGGCUGGGGGUGAAAGGCCAAUCAAACCGGGAGAUAGCUGGUUCUCCCCGAAAGCUAUUUAGGUAGCGCCUCGUGAAUUCAUCUCCGGGGGUAGAGCACUGUUUCGGCAAGGGGGUCAUCCCGACUUACCAACCCGAUGCAAACUGCGAAUACCGGAGAAUGUUAUCACGGGAGACACACGGCGGGUGCUAACGUCCGUCGUGAAGAGGGAAACAACCCAGACCGCCAGCUAAGGUCCCAAAGUCAUGGUUAAGUGGGAAACGAUGUGGGAAGGCCCAGACAGCCAGGAUGUUGGCUUAGAAGCAGCCAUCAUUUAAAGAAAGCGUAAUAGCUCACUGGUCGAGUCGGCCUGCGCGGAAGAUGUAACGGGGCUAAACCAUGCACCGAAGCUGCGGCAGCGACGCUUAUGCGUUGUUGGGUAGGGGAGCGUUCUGUAAGCCUGCGAAGGUGUGCUGUGAGGCAUGCUGGAGGUAUCAGAAGUGCGAAUGCUGACAUAAGUAACGAUAAAGCGGGUGAAAAGCCCGCUCGCCGGAAGACCAAGGGUUCCUGUCCAACGUUAAUCGGGGCAGGGUGAGUCGACCCCUAAGGCGAGGCCGAAAGGCGUAGUCGAUGGGAAACAGGUUAAUAUUCCUGUACUUGGUGUUACUGCGAAGGGGGGACGGAGAAGGCUAUGUUGGCCGGGCGACGGUUGUCCCGGUUUAAGCGUGUAGGCUGGUUUUCCAGGCAAAUCCGGAAAAUCAAGGCUGAGGCGUGAUGACGAGGCACUACGGUGCUGAAGCAACAAAUGCCCUGCUUCCAGGAAAAGCCUCUAAGCAUCAGGUAACAUCAAAUCGUACCCCAAACCGACACAGGUGGUCAGGUAGAGAAUACCAAGGCGCUUGAGAGAACUCGGGUGAAGGAACUAGGCAAAAUGGUGCCGUAACUUCGGGAGAAGGCACGCUGAUAUGUAGGUGAAGUCCCUUGCGGAUGGAGCUGAAAUCAGUCGAAGAUACCAGCUGGCUGCAACUGUUUAUUAAAAACACAGCACUGUGCAAACACGAAAGUGGACGUAUACGGUGUGACGCCUGCCCGGUGCCGGAAGGUUAAUUGAUGGGGUCAGCGCAAGCGAAGCUCUUGAUCGAAGCCCCGGUAAACGGCGGCCGUAACUAUAACGGUCCUAAGGUAGCGAAAUUCCUUGUCGGGUAAGUUCCGACCUGCACGAAUGGCGUAAUGAUGGCCAGGCUGUCUCCACCCGAGACUCAGUGAAAUUGAACUCGCUGUGAAGAUGCAGUGUACCCGCGGCAAGACGGAAAGACCCCGUGAACCUUUACUAUAGCUUGACACUGAACAUUGAGCCUUGAUGUGUAGGAUAGGUGGGAGGCUUUGAAGUGUGGACGCCAGUCUGCAUGGAGCCGGCCUUGAAAUACCACCCUUUAAUGUUUGAUGUUCUAACGUGGACCCGUGAUCCGGGUUGCGGACAGUGUCUGGUGGGUAGUUUGACUGGGGCGGUCUCCUCCUAAAGAGUAACGGAGGAGCACGAAGGUUGGCUAAUCCUGGUCGGACAUCAGGAGGUUAGUGCAAUGGCAUAAGCCAGCUUGACUGCGAGCGUGACGGCGCGAGCAGGUGCGAAAGCAGGUCAUAGUGAUCCGGUGGUUCUGAAUGGAAGGGCCAUCGCUCAACGGAUAAAAGGUACUCCGGGGAUAACAGGCUGAUACCGCCCAAGAGUUCAUAUCGACGGCGGUGUUUGGCACCUCGAUGUCGGCUCAUCACAUCCUGGGGCUGAAGUAGGUCCCAAGGGUAUGGCUGUUCGCCAUUUAAAGUGGUACGCGAGCUGGGUUUAGAACGUCGUGAGACAGUUCGGUCCCUAUCUGCCGUGGGCGCUGGAGAACUGAGGGGGGCUGCUCCUAGUACGAGAGGACCGGAGUGGACGCAUCACUGGUGUUCGGGUUGUCAUGCCAAUGGCACUGCCCGGUAGCUAAAUGCGGAAGAGAUAAGUGCUGAAAGCAUCUAAGCACGAAACUUGCCCCGAGAUGAGUUCUCCCUGACCCUUUAAGGGUCCUGAAGGAACGUUGAAGACGACGACGUUGAUAGGCCGGGUGUGUAAGCGCAGCGAUGCGUUGAGCUAACCGGUACUAAUGAACCGUGAGG
RNAcentral lists this ribosomal RNA (2544 nucleotides) under Shigella sonnei. RNAcentral describes it as "partial 23S ribosomal RNA". It matches the Rfam family "Bacterial large subunit ribosomal RNA", at positions 392 to 2915 of the family's 2925-position model. The record is from RNAcentral. Lineage: Bacteria; Pseudomonadati; Pseudomonadota; Gammaproteobacteria; Enterobacterales; Enterobacteriaceae.